AUUGAACGCUGGCGGAAUGCUUUACACAUGCAAGUCGAACGGCAGCACGGGGCAACCUGGUGGCGAGUGGCGAACGGGUGAGUAAUACAUCGGACGUGCCCAAUCGUGGGGGGAUAACGUAGCGAAAGUUACGCUAAUACCGCAUACGAUCUACGGAUGAAAGCGGGGGAUCGCAAGACCUCGCGCGAGUGGAGCGGCCGAUGUCAGAUUAGGUAGUUGGUGGGGUAAAGGCUCACCAAGCCAACGAUCUGUAGCUGGUCUGAGAGGACGACCAGCCACACUGGAACUGAGACACGGUCCAGACUCCUACGGGAGGCAGCAGUGGGGAAUUUUGGACAAUGGGCGCAAGCCUGAUCCAGCCAUUCCGCGUGCAGGAUGAAGGCCUUCGGGUUGUAAACUGCUUUUGUACGGAACGAAACGGCUCUCUCUAAUACAGGGGGCUAAUGACGGUACCGUAAGAAUAAGCACCGGCUAACUACGUGCCAGCAGCCGCGGUAAUGA
This 501-nucleotide ribosomal RNA is filed under the name uncultured bacterium. Its description in RNAcentral is "bacterial SSU rRNA". It matches the Rfam family "Bacterial small subunit ribosomal RNA", at positions 30 to 525 of the family's 1533-position model. The record is from RNAcentral.